This 305-nucleotide ribosomal RNA is filed under the name uncultured bacterium. Its description in RNAcentral is "bacterial SSU rRNA". It matches the Rfam family "Bacterial small subunit ribosomal RNA", at positions 335 to 656 of the family's 1533-position model. The record is from RNAcentral.
UCUCCUACGGGACGCAGCAGUGGGGGAUAUUGCACAAUGGGGGAAACCCUGAUGCAGCGACGCCGCGUGAGUGAAGAAGUACUUCGGUAUGUAAAGCUCUAUCAGCAGGGAAGAAAAAAGACGGUACCUGACCAAGAAGCCCCGGCUAACUACGUGCCAGCAGCCGCGGCAAUACGUAGGGGGCAAGCGUUAUCCGGAUUUACUGGGUGUAAAGGGAGCGUAGACGGCAAUACGAGUCGGAAGUGAAAUACCCGGGCUCAACCUGGGAAUUGCUUUGGAAACUGUAUGGCUGGAGUGCUGGAGAG